Molecule: ribosomal RNA, 238 nt
Filed under: uncultured bacterium
Lineage: Bacteria
Description: partial 16S ribosomal RNA
Rfam family: Bacterial small subunit ribosomal RNA
Source: RNAcentral
CGUUGUUCGGAAUUACUGGGCGUAAAGAGUGUGUAGGCGGUGUUCCCAGUCUGUUGUGAAAUCUCCCGGCUUAACUGGGAGGGUGCAGCGGAAACUAGAAUGCUAGAGGGUGGGAGAGGUAAGCGGAAUUCCUGGUGUAGCGGUGAAAUGCGUAGAUAUCAGGAGGAACACCUGUGGUGUAGACAGCUUACUGGACCACUUCUGACGCUGAGACACGAAAGCGUGGGUAGCAAACAGG